Long non-coding RNA from Vigna radiata var. radiata (mung bean), 1075 nucleotides. RefSeq lists it as uncharacterized. Lineage: Eukaryota; Viridiplantae; Streptophyta; Magnoliopsida; Fabales; Fabaceae. The record is from RefSeq and is a predicted model, not a curated record. The transcript has 6 exons.
CGAAAAUGACCAAGACCCUUCUUCCCUCCUCUCUUUCAAAAAAUGACAAAGACCUUUUUUCCUUCUUCUAAACCCUUGUCGUCAUCAGCUUCCUUGGCAUCACCGCACCUUUCCCAGCUGACUAAAGUCACCUCCGGCAUCGGUCACUACCGUAAUGUCACCGACAUUAAUCAAUGUCGCGAACUACCUUUCUUCUCAUUUCUCCCAACCCGCGAAACCCCACCUUUUCCCCAUUCUUGGACCUUCCACGAUUGGUUAACAUCGUCGAUAGUAACACCAAUCCCUACCUGAGGCGUCGCCGAUGAGAAACAAAUGUGCACGAUUCUCUUCUCAUUCCCUCAACACGCCAACCGAAGAAUGAACCCAAACCCCAAGAUGGUUGGUCGAAGUCGGAAUCGCCGCCAUCGUCGCCAUGCUCUUCCUCCUCUCGAGCGCGAACCCCAUGGCCAUCGCUGGUUCUCCCCGUUAACAGACAUGUCUUCUUCUCUAGGUCACGGUGGCGGCUUUUACUUCCACCAACACCAACUGUACAUGACCCUUCCUCUCCACUUGAUUUAGCUCCCAGGUUAGCUACAUCACGUGUGAAAACACCUUCAUAUCAUUCAUCUACCACGUUAUAUCAUCAUCUGGUUCUUCAGGACAACAUUCAAAUAUGUUGAUGAGUUAGCUCAAACCCAUCCUUCAAUUUCUGACAUUGAAGAGUGUGGAUCUUUCCCCAACAAGUUGGACGGUUGUUUCUUGGUACCCAAUUUAUAUUGUCCGAAGCCGAAACAAUGAAAAGGAAUUGGAAGUAUGCUUCCUCACUUACCAUACUCUGCCAUCAUCUUUCGAAGGGGUGGCCUAUACAAGUUGCUUCAUACCCUGCCUCCGAAUGCUUCUGAGUACAUUUUACAAGCUCUGAAACCAAGGAAAAGUUGGCAUCCAUAGAAGAGCUUGAACUUUUUCCAAUCAUGUUAGUUUCUAUGUUUCUUUUUAUAAUUUUAGGUCACUGUUCAUAAAUUUCUUUGUAUUUAUUAUCAUUUAAUUAAUUGUAUUGUAUACUAUUCUUCAUUUGUAUAAAGGAUCAAAAUAUAUU